AAUACAAAAUAUGGCGAAAGAAAACGGUUUUGUCAUUUCGUCAAUCUAAAUGUGACUUUAUUUAAAAAUAUGAAUUGGGUUUAAGUGAAAAAGUAAACAAGUGGUUGAGUUUAUAAUUUAUUUAUUUAUCUUUUGUUGUUUGUUUAUGUUGUAUGAGGUUUGGGGUCGGAGAUUUUUUUUUUAUAGAUAAGUUAUAUUGCUUGACUCUCUUUGCUAUCGUCGUUGGGUUGUCCGGACUUUCUGGUUAUGUUUUAAACAGGAAAAAAUAAUCGUAAUGAUAAAGGAUAUAGUUGUGAUCAACACUUCAUUCUUAUCCUCUAAUACCUAAUUACCUUUAUAUUCCCCCUCUUCUCAAUAUCCCCUUUCCCUUUCGUAUAGACGUGUAAAAGAGUUACAUUGUAGCCUAUUUGCAAAAAUAAAUAUAAUUUAUCAUUUAUCCCCAAAUUCCGAAUCCCUUAAAGGCCGCUAAAUCACUCUUAACUCAUCUGGUGUUGUUGUCUUUUGCUCGUGUGUCUAUGCUAUAAAAAAAGACGUUUAAAAUGUAUUUGAUUAUGUAAUCCUCGAUUAAUUAUUAUAUUAUUUAAUCAGGCAGUCAGUUGAGACAACUGAUAUAUUAUGCCAAUAUCGUAUUUGUGUAUUAUUAUUUACUUUUAGGUUUUGUUUCUCUGUCUGUCUGUUACAUAUUGUGACACGGAGCAAAUAUCGAACAGGACUAUACGGAGGCACUAUAGAAAAGGAUUUUUUUAUAUAUUUAUAUAGUCCUGUAGUGGGAAAGUGUGCAAGCCAAUAUCGUUUCGUUGGUUCGUUUGUCCGUUCGUCAAUAGUUAGUUAUUUGCAUUAAAUUGUCUAAGUUGAUUUGUCAUAUAAUAGGUACCAUAGUGUUCAUGGCAAUGUAUAUCAUUGAUUGACAUCUUUUUUUUUAACGUUGAUAAGUCUGCUUUUGGCCACCAACCCUCUUACUGCCAGGACGGCAAAGCGAAGAUGGAGCAUACAGACUUAGAGAACUUCUGAUAUCAUUCGACAGAUCGAAGGCUGAAUUUGGCUGUAAAACGAUAGAAUGGAAGAGGGCGGUCUUAGAUGCCGCCGCAUAGCUCCGUGGUAGAAAGUAUAAAGAAAAGUAUAAAGAUUCGUUUAAAAGUACGUAUUUACUCUGACCUUGAAAAGACCCGGGUUGUAUUUCUCAGGAAAAAUGUCUCAAUGUCUUUCUUGGUCGCUCGUCAAAGUUAAAAUGAAAGAAAAAGAACUUUAUUGUUUAUAUAUUUAUAAUUUAUAUUAUCUCUUCAUUUUAUAAUUAUAUAACAUGUAUAUUAUCAAAUCUGGCCAUCCUUUCCUGGAACUCUGCCCUCAUCUCAGCCAGCGUUCCAUUGACCGCCUCCACUGCCUCUAUAUUGUUGACUAGCUACUUUCCCGCGGUUUCACCCGCUCUGCUUGGCUCCUAUUGGUCAUAGCGAGAUGUUUUCUAGCCUAUAGCCUUCCUCGAUAAAUGCACAAUUCAACACAAAAAGAAUUAUUCAAAUCGGACCGGAAGUUCCGGAGAUUAGCGCGUUCAAACAAACAAACAAACAAACAAUCAAACAAACAAACUCUUCAGCUUUAUAAUAUAAGUAUAGAAGUAUAGAUGAUGUGAUAGUAGUUUGAUGUUUAAGAGAGCUGACACACUAAACCAGCAGGUAGUCCCUUUCAAUAAGUACUUAUGGUGUAAAAUACUAUUUAAAAUUUAAAAAUAAAUAAUUAUUUUUGGGAGAGACGUUUUCCCUAUGUAUUUCACUUAGAACACCUCAAAAGUGAAUGUUUCUUUUAUUUAUAUAAAGUAAUAGGGUUCGGACUUCUAACCCGUUAAGGCUGAAUACUACAUCUAAUUUUAUGGACAAAAGUCGGGGGUCGAAUUGGUCGUACCCCUCCCCUUAAAGUUAUUGCUAUUUUAAUAUUUUUCCUACUUUAUGUGAUAUCAAAGGCUGUAUGCGUCGUAGAAACAAAAAAAAACUACAAACGGUAGCUAAUAACCUUGGCUAACUAAUUCAUUACUUUUUUCAUAUGUUUGAUAAUGUUUUGGUGAGAAAAAAAUAAAUUCUGAAUAAUUUUUACCGAAAAUAUCGCUAUGUUUCAAUAUUUUUUAUUGGGGGUUCAACCCCCAUAUUAUCUUUUUUGUCCAUAAAAUUAGAUGUAGUAUUCAGCCUUAACGGGUUAGAAGUCUCGCCCCUAUCACAUUGUAUAAAGUAUACCAAAAUGAUUUUUGUAUGUUUUUCUAAAUAUAUUCAAAUUUUCGAAGAAAAGUCGUGUUGGUUAAAUGAAAAGUUUUAGCUAUAAUUAUUCGAAUAUAUGUAUCUAUAUUUUUAUAUAUUUGUGUUGUAAAAAAUGCUUAUCCAGCUAAACUGCCCAAUGACAUGUCAGAUCCAAUUCGACGUCUUUCAAAGGAAUUGCUUGAGCUACACCUCGGAACUUCUUCAUUACAAGUUCAUUUUGUAUGGUGCUUCCACUAGGUCGUCCACGUUUAGCGUCAUUUUCUGGUAGACCCAAUUUAUAGAGGGUUUCAGCAAGUUCUAGUCUGAAUGUACCCAAAUUGAAAAGGAUAUAAUUUCCUUUUAUAUCAUUUACCUUCUUGAACAUAACCCAUAAAUUUAUAACUGCAAAAUCCAGCAAAUGAUAAAAUAAGCGCAUGGUCUACUUGCGGCUCCUCAUUGAGAUGUGUGUGAGAAUCAUAUUCGAAGUUAACGAGAGAAACAGUAAGAAGGAAAUUAUUAUGAAAUGUGAAACAAAUUUAGUAAAAAAAAUUGCUAGAAAAGUGCCAGAAAAAAAAAACGUAUGUUUCCACUUACCUCGCUGCAUUUGAACCACUUACCUCGGUGCUCGGUGAAUUGAUUCCGUUUCUCUAUCUGAUUCACUGUCUUCAUUGUUUUCUUCUAGUUGGCAACUCGUUGUUAUCCCUAAUAUAACUAAAGUAUCUAAUUCUAUACGACUCAUUGAGAAACAGCACUUCCUCUAAUAAUCGGACCACGAAUUCGUCGUUAUUUGAGAAAUCUCGCUCCAUCUUGCGAAUUCUAAUGUAAACUAAUUUACCAAUAAGUAAAUAAAUAUUAUGUAUAACUCUACACUAUCACUAAUAUUUAAUUAUCACUGCCACUACUAUAUCCACUGUCUGUGUCCGUUUCACUAUCAGAUUCACUGCCUCAUUGUUCCCUUCUAGUUGGAACUCGUUAUAUAUUACGUUAACGUAUCUAAUUCUAAACGAUCCGAUGAGAAACAGCACUUCUCCUAAUAAAAAGGACCAAGAAUUCGUCGUUAUUUGAAAAAUCUUAGUCCAUCUUUCGAAUGCUGUCAUCUUAUUUAUCAGCAGGCAAAUCAUCCAGAAAAUCUGUCAAGUCUCCUCUCAAGAAGUUUUCGUACAUUUUCCCAUUUAGAUUGUCCGGGAGAAGCAAGGUCAAAUGAUUGGAGAUAAUGCCCUUCCAUACAUUCUACUUGCGGCUCCUCAUUGUGAUGUGAUAACGACCUAUUAAUGAAUCUAAUAAGUCCACUUGUCCCCACCCAUUUCACAUUUCAGCUUCUUAUUACUAUUUAAAAUGUCUAAGAAUUCCCUCACACUGUCAUCUCUUUCUUUUAGUAGUUGAUCACACAACUCCUUUGAUGCCUUCAGUUCGCUUAAAGCCAGGUUGAGUUUUGACUCCUCUUGGAGAGCAUGGGCUUUGCGAGUGAGAAUCAUAUUAGAAGUUAAAGAAAGAGACAGUAAGAAGGAAAUUAUAAUAAUAAUAUGAAAUGUGAAGCUAAUUUAGUAAAGAAAAAUUGCUAGAAAAGUGCUAGAAAAAAAAAUUGUUUCCACUUACCUCGGUGCUCGGUGAAUUGAUUACGUUUCUCUAUCUGAUUCACUGUCUUCAUUGUUUUCUUCUAGUUGGCAACUCGUUGUUAUCCCUAAUAUAACUAAAGUAUCUAAAUCUAUACGACCCGCUGAGAAACAGCACUUCCUCUAAUAAUCGGACCACGAAUUCGUCGUUAUUUGAGAAAUCUCGCUCCAUCUUUCGUAUUCUGUCAUCUUAUUUAUCAGCAGGCAGAUAACUCUACACUAUCACUGAUAUUUAAUUAUCACUGCCACUUCUAUAGCCGCUGUCCGUAUCCGUCUCACUCUCAGAUUCACUGCCUCAUUGUUCAUUUCUAGUUGGAACUCGUUAUAUAUUAUAUUACUGUCUUCAUUGUUUUCUUCUUGUUGAUAUUUCGUUGUUAUCCCUAAUAUUACUAAAGUAUCUAAUUCUAUACGACCCGAUGAAAAACAGCACUUCCCCUAAAAAUCGGGCUACGAAUUUGUCGUUAUUUGAGAAAUCUCGGUCCAUCUUGCGAAUUCUGAUGUAAACUAAUUUACCAAUAAGUAAAUAAAUAUUAUGUAUAACUCUACACUAUCACUAAUAUUUAAUUAUCACUGCCACUACUAUAUCCACUGUCUGUGUCCGUUUCACUAUCUGAUUCACUGCCUCAUUGUUCCAUUCUAGUUGGAACUCGUUAUAUAUUAUAUUAUGCCUACUAUAAUUAUAUUAUAACUAUAACGUAUAUAAUUCUAAACGACCCGAUGAGAAACAGCACUUCUCCUAAUAAAACGGCCCACGAAUUCGUCGUUAUUUGAGAAAUCUCGAUCCAUCUUUCGAAUUCUAAUGUCAUCUUAUUUAUCAGCAGGCAGAUCAUCCAGAAAAUCUGUCGAAGAAAGUCGCCACGUUUUCCUCAUAAAAUCCUAUGGGCACGUUCUUUUUCAUUAUUGUGUUGAAAGCUUUUUUAAUAUAUUUCUUUAAUUACUUAUCACUUUCACAAAUUAAAUCUAUAGUCACUGAAUUCAAGUCUAUACAUAUGUUAUGUUUGAGAAGCACGGGCUGAUACCAACUCGCUGAAGAGACUGUUAUUCAGACUUGGUGUGAUGUUAAGGUUUAUCGUUUCUAGUUGGCUAAUUUGACUAUUGGCCUCAUGCAGCUGUUGUUCUAAAUGAGCUUUGUCAUGUAAUGUCUGUUCAUACUCAUUGCUACAUUGACUGAACCCGUCCACAACGAACUGGAGCCUAUCCCGGGCCUCAAUGCCUUCAGUGUGUUGAAUAUAUAACUGAGCCAUUUCACAUUUCAGCUUCUUAUUACUAUUUAAAAUGUCUAAGAAUUCCCUCACAUUGUCAUCUCUUUCUUUCACUAGUUGAUCACACAACUCCUUUGAUGCCUUCAGUUCGCUCAAAGCCAGGUCGAGUUUUGACUCCUCUUGGCGAGCAUGGGCUUUGCGAGUGAGAAUCAUAUUAGAAGUUAAAGAAAGAGACAGUAAGAAGGAAAUUAUAAUAAUAAUAUGAAAUGUGAAGCUAAUUUAGUAAAGAAAAAUUGCUAGAAAAGUGCUAGAAAAAAAAAUUGUUUCCACUUACCUCGGUGCUCGGUGAAUUGAUUCCGUUUCUCUAUCUGAUUCACUGUCUUCAUUGUUUUCUUCUAGUUGGUAUCUCGUUGUUAUCCCUAAUAUAACUAAAGUAUCUAAAUCUAUACGACCCGAUGUGAAACAGCACUUCCUCUAAAUAUCGGGCCACGAAUUCGUCGUUAUUUGAGAAAUCUCGCUCCAUCUUGCGAAUUCUAAUGUAAACUAAUUUACCAAUAAGUAAAUAAAUAUUAUGUAUAACUCUACACUAUCAGUAAUAUUUAAUUAUCACUGCCACUACUAUAUCCGCUGUCUGUGUCCGUUUCACUACCUGAUUCACUGCCUCAUUGUUCCAUUCUAGUUGGAACUCGUUAUAUAUUAUAUUAUGCUUACUAUAAUUAUAACUAUAAC
This is a long non-coding RNA of Spodoptera frugiperda (fall armyworm), 5766 nucleotides long. RefSeq lists it as uncharacterized. Lineage: Eukaryota; Metazoa; Arthropoda; Insecta; Lepidoptera; Noctuidae. The transcript has 2 exons. The record is from RefSeq and is a predicted model, not a curated record.